GCUGGCGGCAGGCCUAAUACAUGCAAGUCGAGUCGCGCCCUUCGGGGUGAGCGGCGGACGGGUGAGUAACGCGUGGGAAUAUGCCCUUCUCUAAGGAAUAGCCUCUGGAAACGGAGAGUAAUACCUAAUACGCCCUUCGGGGGAAAAAAUUUAUCGGAGAA
RNAcentral lists this ribosomal RNA (161 nucleotides) under uncultured Rhodobacterales bacterium. RNAcentral's name for it is "partial 16S ribosomal RNA". It matches the Rfam family "Bacterial small subunit ribosomal RNA", at positions 35 to 222 of the family's 1533-position model. Lineage: Bacteria; Pseudomonadati; Pseudomonadota; Alphaproteobacteria; Rhodobacterales. The record is from RNAcentral.